GGAGGUGCUGAAGAUGGUUCCUUUGGGAUUCCAUUUUAACGAUCUAAUUUACCAGCUAAAUCUAUUUAAGUUUUUAUUCUUUUUAUUUGGGAGUUUUAUGAACACUGAAUCUAGGCUGUGACAAUAUCUUGAACAGGCAACAUGAAAGGGCAGUUCAAAGGACCAGGAGUGCAGCAGCAUAUUCUGCUACGGCAGCAAUAUGUAAUGAAGCAGAAUGUAAUCUACAAACUAGGCCAUGGCCUGAACUGGUGACUUGACGAGUGGCUGAUAAAUACUGACAGAGCCUGUGCACAGAGAGAGAAAGUCUGCCUCCAGUCGAGUUUGCAGGAAACUCCCCGCCACUCCUGUCAGAUAAGCAGUGCAGUGAACCUUGCCUGUGGAACUCAAGUGCCUCUAGGCCCCAGGAGAUAACUCUGGCCAAAAAAGCCCUGCUGGAAUAGAAGGAAGAGAGACGUGCUUGUAAGGUACAGAGCUGACUCCUUAAGGGCCUGUGCAGUGAGGAGAAUCAAGCCACUGGAACUUUUAAACUGGUUUGCUACCCCAGUUGAGCUCUACCUAUUGCUGCAUUGCCUUCAAACACAACAGAAUAUCUGGUUCAUUAGUGAACACAGGUGCUCACCUUAAAAAAAGAUUCACUCCAGAGUCUGAUCUGGAUACAGCAAUUGCCACCAGUAAAAGCUGAUGGAGUGAGGGGGAAGCAUUCAACCUGACACAUAAGGAACAUGAAGCAAACAAAAUCAGAAUGAUCUCAUCAGGCAGGUUCAGAAUAUGCAGAUUUUCCACUAAAGAAGAAUUCUGAACUUAGAUCUCCAAUGACAUGAAAAUCAACAUUUCACCUGUCUGUGGCACAGCAAAUAAAACAACAAAUGAGUUUUGGAUAGUGCCAUGGCUCCAUUUUGUUGUCCCUUUUCUCAGUUAAACACAUCCAUGUGGUUUAUGUCUUCAGCAAGGCUAUUAUUCAGCCUAUACGGUAACACAAUAUGGACCUUAUUUUGUGAUUUACCGGACAUUUCAAAAAUCACACAACAGUGGAUUUUCUCACUGUACAAAAUCUCUUAAAUAAAGGCACUUUAACUUUCAUUUUCAGUCUUCUAUCUCCUUCCUUCUGCUUGACCAAACCCAGAUUUCUCAUUUUAAACAAAAGAGAAAAUGCUACUCACCAGUAACCUAUCCCUUACAUCAGUGCUCCUCAAGCCACCUGAUGUGUGGUACUGGCAUUUUUUUCCCUCAAUGUGCCAGGGACCAAUGCCACAUUAUUAUCCUAUUCGACGCUCUUAUGAGGAAAC
Molecule: long non-coding RNA, 1286 nt
Organism: Gopherus flavomarginatus (Mexican gopher tortoise)
Lineage: Eukaryota; Metazoa; Chordata; Testudines; Testudinidae
Exons: 3
Source: RefSeq, a predicted model, not a curated record